This 301-nucleotide ribosomal RNA is filed under the name uncultured bacterium. Its description in RNAcentral is "partial 16S ribosomal RNA". It matches the Rfam family "Bacterial small subunit ribosomal RNA", at positions 509 to 807 of the family's 1533-position model. The record is from RNAcentral.
CAGUCGCCACGGUAACACAGAGGGUGCAAGCGUUAACCGGAAUUACUGGGCGUAAAGCGCGCGUAGGUGGUUUGUUAAGUUGGAUGUGAAAUCCCCGGGCUCAACCUGGGGACUGCAUCCAAAACUGGCAGGCUAGAGUAGGGCAGAGGGUGGUGGAAUUUCCUGUGUAGCGGUGAAAUGCGUAGAGAUGUGGAGGAACACCAGUGGCGAAGGCGACUCUCUGGUCUGUAACUGACGCUGAGGAGCGAAAGCGUGGGGAGCAAACAGGAUUAGAUACCCCAGUAGUCCCUGUCUCUUAUAC